GGAGACUUUGCCAGCAUACAAUUAGAAACAACAGGGUUUUUUUGAGCAACGAAGAUAACUUUGUUGUGAAUGUUCCCGGGGCUUGUGUGUGUGUGUCGUAGCAUGUUCAGGCUGCACCCACAACGAUGCACAGAGAGCCAGCAGGCACAGCAAUCAGACUCUGGGUUCUUCGUUUAACUGAUUCUCCCUGUAGCCACCAGAAAGCUACCAGAAGAAUGAGCUUCUUCCAUCACAGUAUGCAGAGCAUCAGAGUCUUGCACAACACCAUUGGAACAAUUGGAGGACUUGGAGGACACCAAGAAAAACAGUCUGAGAGACGUGGGCGUGCUCGAAACAUCUCAAGUGCCGGGCUUCAUUGACUGGAUUUAUCACGUGCGCUGGAUUUAUUUACACCUGAACAAACAAAGCAGGCC
RNAcentral lists this long non-coding RNA (413 nucleotides) under Chelonoidis abingdonii (Abingdon island giant tortoise). RNAcentral's name for it is "lncRNA (ENSCABG00000014774.1)". The record is from RNAcentral. Lineage: Eukaryota; Metazoa; Chordata; Testudines; Testudinidae.